This 73-nucleotide transfer RNA is filed under the name Ictidomys tridecemlineatus (thirteen-lined ground squirrel). RNAcentral's name for it is "Spermophilus tridecemlineatus (thirteen-lined ground squirrel) tRNA". It matches the Rfam family "tRNA". Rfam says of the family: Transfer RNA (tRNA) molecules are approximately 80 nucleotides in length. Their secondary structure includes four short double-helical elements and three loops (D, anti-codon, and T loops). Further hydrogen bonds mediate the characteristic L-shaped molecular structure. tRNAs have two regions of fundamental functional importance: the anti-codon, which is responsible for specific mRNA codon recognition, and the 3' end, to which the tRNAs corresponding amino acid is attached (by aminoacyl-tRNA synthetases). tRNAs cope with the degeneracy of the genetic code in two manners: having more than one tRNA (with a specific anti-codon) for a particular amino acid; and 'wobble' base-pairing, i.e. permitting non-standard base-pairing at the 3rd anti-codon position. The record is from Rfam by way of RNAcentral. Lineage: Eukaryota; Metazoa; Chordata; Mammalia; Rodentia; Sciuridae.
GGGAAUAUAGCUCAGUUGGUAGAGUGCUUGCUUUGCAUGCACCAGGCCCUGGGUUCAAUAUCCAGCAUCACCA